RNAcentral lists this long non-coding RNA (274 nucleotides) under Nicotiana benthamiana. Its description in RNAcentral is "long non-coding RNA (NBEN_LNC018059)". Lineage: Eukaryota; Viridiplantae; Streptophyta; Magnoliopsida; Solanales; Solanaceae. The record is from RNAcentral.
CCCAUGGUUUGACAUAUAAAAGAAAAUAUACGAACAUGAGAAUAAACAACUUCAAUUCGUUUGUGUCACAUAAUAUUUUCAAAAUCUGUUGCUAACAUUUGACUAACAAAAUCAGAUAUGUUAUCCAUAAUUGAUUACUUUGCAGUUUGAAAAUUUUCAGCUUUUUUCAUAAGACAAUCGAUUAUUAAACACACACAAUCGAUUGUUUGAACUUAGACAAUCGAUUGUUAAACACACACAAUCGAUUAUUUGUUAUUUUUGAAAAACUUCAGAU